GCUUAAGUAGGCCUUCUUAUUAGACAAUCUGCACGCUUUGGUCUUCAGUCCCAGACAGGACACAGGCCAGUCAUGAUGGCUCCAGUUCAGCUCUUAGGGCUGCUGCUGCUCUGGCUCCCAGCCAUGAGAUGUGACAUCCAGAUGACCCAGUCUCCUUCAUUCCUGUCUGCAUCUGUGGGAGACAGAGUCACUCUCAGCUGCAAAGCAAGUCAGAAUAUUAACAAGUACUUAGCCUGGUAUCAGCAAAAGCUUGGAGAAGCUCCCAAACUCCUGAUUUAUAAUGCAAACAGUUUGCAAACGGGCAUCCCAUCAAGGUUCAGUGGCAGUGGAUCUGGUACUGAUUUCACACUCACCAUCAGCAGCCUGCAGCCUGAAGAUGUUGCCACAUAUUUCUGCUUGCAGCAUAAUAGUUGGCCCCACAGUGAUACAAACCAUAACAUAAACCACCCAGAGAUGCAGAUGUUCCCAGACAGGACACAGGCCAGUCAUGAUGGCUGCACUUCAGCUCUUAGGGCUGCUGCUGCUUUGGCUCCCAGUAUGUGUUUGAUGUGUAUUUCCAAUAUCAGCCAUGAGAUGGGACAUCCAGAUGAUUCAGUUUCCUUCAUCCCUGUCUGCAUCUGUGAGAGACAGAGUCACUCUCAGCUGCAAAGCAAGUCAGAGUAUUGGAAAUGUCUUAUGCUGAUCAGCACAAGAUUGAAGAAGCUUCCGAACUCCUGA
Molecule: non-coding RNA, 717 nt
Organism: Rattus norvegicus (Norway rat)
Lineage: Eukaryota; Metazoa; Chordata; Mammalia; Rodentia; Muridae
Source: the annotation of a RefSeq genome assembly